UAACACCCAAAGUGCCGCCCAAAGAUA
Molecule: non-coding RNA, 27 nt
Filed under: Mus musculus (house mouse)
Lineage: Eukaryota; Metazoa; Chordata; Mammalia; Rodentia; Muridae
Source: RNAcentral